Molecule: ribosomal RNA, 479 nt
Filed under: uncultured anaerobic ammonium-oxidizing bacterium
Lineage: Bacteria
Description: bacterial SSU rRNA
Rfam family: Bacterial small subunit ribosomal RNA
Source: RNAcentral
UUUCGCAAUGCCCGAAAGGGUGACGAAGCGACGCCGCGUGAGUGAGGAAGGCCUUCGGGUUGUAAAGCUCUGUCAGGAGUUAAGAAAUAUAAGUGUGCUAAUACCACAUUUAUCUGACAAGAGCUCCAAAGGAAGCCACGGCUAACUCUGUGCCAGCAGCCGCGGUAAUACAGAGGUGGCAAGCGUUGUUCGGAAUUAUUGGGCGUAAAGAGCACGUAGGUGGGUUUGUAAGUCAGAUGUGAAAGCCUUCUGUUCAACGGAAGAAUUGCAUCUGAAACUGCGAGUCUUGAGUGUAGGAGGGGAGAAUGGAACUUCUGGUGGAGCGGUGAAAUGCGUAGAUAUCAGAAGGAACGCCGGCGGCGAAAGCGAUUCUCUGGCCUAUUACUGACACUCAGUGUGCGAAAGCUAGGGGAGCAAACGGGAUUAGAUACCCCGGUAGUCCUAGCUGUAAACGAUGGGCACUAAGUAGAGGGGUUUUA